This is a long non-coding RNA of Prionailurus viverrinus (fishing cat), 263 nucleotides long. RefSeq lists it as uncharacterized. The transcript is spliced from 3 exons. Lineage: Eukaryota; Metazoa; Chordata; Mammalia; Carnivora; Felidae. The record is from RefSeq and is a predicted model, not a curated record.
CCCACUGGUCCGAGGCCCACGCUUUGAGUAGCAAGACACUGAAUGAUAGAAAUGGAACCAGUUGGCCAAUGAGGAGCAGUGAUGUGUUGGCCAAAUGGUCCCUAUGAUUAGAUAUCUGAGCAGAGUGCCAAGGGAAGGCAGAGUUGCAGCAAAAACACGGGAGGAAGCAUCAACUUGCUUAGCAUACAAGAUACAUUUGAAGGUUGAGGAGACAUGACAGCAUUCUCAUGGAGCUAUGGAGAUUGGCUACACAGAUCCAACCU